GGGGUUGUAGCUCAUUGGUAGAGCACUUGCCUCACAUGAAUGAGGCACUGAGUUCGAAUCUCAGCACCA
RNAcentral lists this transfer RNA (69 nucleotides) under Ictidomys tridecemlineatus (thirteen-lined ground squirrel). Its description in RNAcentral is "Spermophilus tridecemlineatus (thirteen-lined ground squirrel) tRNA". It matches the Rfam family "tRNA". Rfam says of the family: Transfer RNA (tRNA) molecules are approximately 80 nucleotides in length. Their secondary structure includes four short double-helical elements and three loops (D, anti-codon, and T loops). The record is from Rfam by way of RNAcentral. Lineage: Eukaryota; Metazoa; Chordata; Mammalia; Rodentia; Sciuridae.